RNAcentral lists this ribosomal RNA (421 nucleotides) under uncultured bacterium. RNAcentral's name for it is "bacterial SSU rRNA". It matches the Rfam family "Bacterial small subunit ribosomal RNA", at positions 355 to 776 of the family's 1533-position model. The record is from RNAcentral.
UGAGGAAUAUUGCGCAAUGGACGAAAGUCUGACGCAGCAAUGCCGCGUGCGGGAUGACAGGGCUAUGCCUUGUAAACCGCUUUAGCACGGGAAGAAAAGCGCCCUUGGGGCGUGGGACUGUACCGUGAAAGUAAGCAUCGGCUAACUACGUGCCAGCAGCCGCGGUAAUACGUAGGAUGCAAGCGUUAAUCGGAAUUACUGGGCGUAAAGCGUGCGCAGGCGGUUAUAUAAGACAGAUGUGAAAUCCCCGGGCUCAACCUGGGAACUGCAUUUGUGACUGUAUAGCUAGAGUACGGUAGAGGGGGAUGGAAUUCCGCGUGUAGCAGUGAAAUGCGUAGAUAUGCGGAGGAACACCGAUGGCGAAGGCAAUCCCCUGGACCUGUACUGACGCUCAUGCACGAAAGCGUGGGGAGCAAACAGG